AAGGUUGUCAAGGUAAACCUCGCUGGUGUUGCUGGUUUUUUGUAUUAUAUUACCUUUGAUGUCAGGGAUGCUGCUACGGUUGAUGGUGGUACUAUGGAAUUUCAAGCUUUUGUCUGGGAUGGGAUUGCCCACACUGAAGUAGUCAUUUCUAGGCUGAAAUCUAGCACAUAAUCGAGGUGAGAUUGAAGAUUUCAUCAAGGUAAUAUGCAUAUGGAGUCCCAGUCAGUUGUUGGAAGGGUGUGCUACUAUGAAACAAAAUGAAUAUAAUAUUAGAAUCUUUGUACAUGUGGUGGUGGUAGGGUUGUGUUGGUUAGGCUGAACUGGGUUUGUUGACGUCAAAAACUUUGGAUAUUGACAAUUAUGUUGUUACUUGAUUUAGUAUAUGUCUAGAUUAAUAUUCUAAGCUAAUAUCUAAACUAAUAUUUAUAAAACAAUGUCGUCAGAUGAUGUUUUGUUUGACAAGUGAAAUGUAUGACACAUAACAACUAGAGCAAAUUGCUUGUCCAAGUUGUUUUU
Camellia sinensis is the source of this 516-nucleotide long non-coding RNA. RefSeq lists it as uncharacterized. The record is from RefSeq and is a predicted model, not a curated record. NCBI's taxonomy places the organism in Eukaryota, Viridiplantae, Streptophyta, Magnoliopsida, Ericales, Theaceae.